This 1360-nucleotide ribosomal RNA is filed under the name uncultured organism. RNAcentral's name for it is "bacterial SSU rRNA". It matches the Rfam family "Bacterial small subunit ribosomal RNA". The record is from RNAcentral.
GCUCAGGAUGAACGCUAGCGGAGCGCCUAACACAUGCAAGUCGAACGGUACUUCGGUACAGUGGCAAACGGGCGAGUAACGCGUACUUAACCUGCCCCGAAGUUGGGAACAACCAUGGAGACAUGGCUAAUUCCCGAUGUGUCCUCAGAAAUGAAAAUACUGAGGAGAAAGAUUUAUCGCUUUGGGAGGGAGGUGCGUCCUAUCAGGUAGUUGGUGAGGUAGUGGCUCACCAAGCCUAUGACGGGUAGCCGGUCUGAGAGGAUGUCCGGCCGCAAUGGGACUGAGACACGGCCCAUACUCCUAUGGGAGGCAGCAGUGGGGAAUAUUGGACAAUGGGCGAAAGCCUGAUCCAGCGACUCCGCGUGGAGGAUGACGCGUUACGGCGUGUAAACUCCUUUUCUGGUGGAAGACGAAUGACGGUACACCAGGAAUAAGCAUCGGCUAAUUAUGUGCCAGCAGCCGCGGUAAUACAUAAGAUGCAAGCGUUAUCCGGAAUUACUGGGCGUAAAGCGUCCGCAGCUGGACUUGUAAGUCUGUUUUCAAAUGCCCUGGCUCAACCAGGGGAAGGGAAUAGAUACUGCAAGUCUGGAGUUUACGAGGGGUUAGUGGAAUUUCCGGUGGAGCGGUGAAAUGUGUUGAUAUCGGAAAGAACGCCAAAAGCGAAGGCAGCUAACUAUUGUAAAACUGACAGUCAAGGACGAAAGCUUGGGGAGCGAACGGGAUUAGAUACCCCGGUAGUCCAAGCCGUAAAUGAUGUUCGCUAGGUGUUUCUCGUAGUUCAACGAGGAGUGCCGUAACCUAAUGGGUUAAGCGAACCGCCUGGGUAGUAUACUCGCAAGAGUGAAACUCAAAGGGAUAGGCGGGGGAACACACAAGCAGUGGAUGAUCUAGAUUAAUUGGAUAAAAAGCCAAAAAUCUCACCUAGACUUGACAUGCUCUUUGUCGUACGUGAAAGCGUACUAUCCUAGCAAUAGGAAGGGAGCACAGGUGGUGCAUGGUCGUCGUCAGCUCGUGCCGCAAGGUGUCUAGUUAAGUCUAGAAACGAGCGCAACCCUCAUCGUUAGUUACUUUUUCUAACGAGACUGCCCUCGCAACAGGGAGGAAGGAGAGGAUGACGUCAGAUCCUCAUGCCCCUUACGUCUAGGGCUUCAUAGGUCAUACAAUGGGUAGUACAGAAAGAAGCAAUACCGCGAGGUGGAGCAAAUCUCUAAAGCUAUCCUUAGUUCGGAUUGUAGUCUGAAACUCGACUACAUGAAGUCGGAAUUGCUAGUAAUGGCGGGUCAGCACACCGCCGUGAAUAUGUCCCUGUUCCUUGCACUCACCGCCCGUCAAACCACGGGAGUUGGGGUCCUCUGAAGCC